CAUCGAGUGUUCCUGCUUCGACGGCUACCGCCUCGACGGAUCGUCCUCUUGCGCUGAUAUCGACGAGUGCGCCGAGGGCAGAUCUGGAUGCUCGCACGUGUGCCGGAACGACCGUGGCUCCUUUCACUGCGACUGCCCGCCCGGCUAUCGAUUGGCCGACGACCACAAAACUUGUAAAGAUAUCGACGAGUGCGCUUUGAACGAUGGACACGGGCCGUGCGACCGGAUAUGCAACAAUCUGGCGGGUGGUUAUGAGUGCAGCUGCAGCGACGUUCCGGGCUAUAAAUUGAAGGCGGACAAUCACACUUGCGAGGACGUAGACGAGUGCGCCGACAACAAUGCCGGCUGCUCGCACACCUGCGUCAAUACCCCCGGAAGUGCUUUUUGCAUUUGUCCCAAGGGCCACUACCUCGGCAACGAUUAUAAAACGUGCGAAGACGUCAACGAGUGCAACGCCACGGAGCGGGUGUGCAAAGAAAAAACGGAGGAUUGCGUCAACUUGGAGGGCUCGUUCA
This is a long non-coding RNA of Copidosoma floridanum, 515 nucleotides long. The record is from RefSeq and is a predicted model, not a curated record. Lineage: Eukaryota; Metazoa; Arthropoda; Insecta; Hymenoptera; Encyrtidae.